This 801-nucleotide long non-coding RNA is filed under the name Homo sapiens (human). Its description in RNAcentral is "HSALNT0277671". Lineage: Eukaryota; Metazoa; Chordata; Mammalia; Primates; Hominidae. The record is from RNAcentral.
UAGAAAUGCUAAAAGCUUCACGCAUUGUUUAAGUACUGGAACUGAGGACAUCAGCUCGCUGAGGACAGGAGCCAGUGGUGAGACAGAGCCUGGAAGAAAAAGACGGGCCUGGAAGGCAAAGCGUGGUCCUUGCCCACGGUGGAACCCUGCCAAGUGGACUAGGAAGAGAUGGGGGCUGAGCUGCCUUCUGGGGAAGGUAAGGUGACCGCAGCUCAGAGAGGCUGAGUAGCUUCCCCAGGAUCACACAGCUGGGGAGUGAAGGAGCCCACACUCGCCACCCCAAACUGCCUCUCUACAUGCACAAGCCUUCUCUGAGGAUCCUGAAGGUGAGACGUGGGAAGGGACUGACACACAUUCCACAGAAUCGGAGGUUUCCAAGUCCUCUCAGGGGGGUUUCCAAGUCCUCUCAUCAAUAUCCCUCCAUCUAGCCCCCUCAGGCUGUCUCUGGGUCCCCCUUCCUUCUGCCCAGAUCCCUGCAGUGCCCACCCCACCCUCUGCAGCAACAAAUUUCUCUUCCUUCCGGAAAGCAGUGGCUGAUAUGCCCAACCUACCAUGGCGGCCUCCACAGAAAGCCAGGCCCUCUCACUCCCCGUGAGCAGUCAGGGCUGCUAAGAACAAACAUUUUUCCCCUUUGUCACAUAGAGUAAUAGACUCUUGAAAAAUCACAUUCUGGGAGGCUCAUGGCUGAAUCUUAUAAUCUGAGACUCUCCAUCAAAGAACCUCAGAGCCACCGACUAAUAGAAUCUCGAAGUCAGUGACUGGAGAAUCCUACGAUGCUGCACUCUCUCCAUCACUGACUGG